Molecule: long non-coding RNA, 2947 nt
Filed under: Anser brachyrhynchus (Pink-footed goose)
Lineage: Eukaryota; Metazoa; Chordata; Aves; Anseriformes; Anatidae
Description: lncRNA (ENSABRG00000012186.1)
Source: RNAcentral
AUGCUGAAAAUAAAGGGCAGCACGGCCGCUCACCCGGAUUUCCUCCCCAGACCUUCCAACUCCGGCUCAGGCAGCGGCGUGCGCGCGAGCCCAGCCCGUACCCGGAGCCCCAUCCAGCAGCCUCACCACGACGGGUGGCUGCGACAGAAAGGUGACGGAGAUGCAGAUUUCCAUUUUUUAAUUAAAUUUAUUACGCGUGCACGCGAUCUCGCAGCCCAACGCUCGCACCGGCCCCUCCCGCAGCAUCCCCCCCGGGGACGCUGCUGCGUCCCCGGGGGGGAUGCUGCGAGAGGGGCCGGUGCGGAGGAUGCUGCGAGAGGGGCUGGUGCUAAGGAUGCUCCGGCGGCCACCUGCAGGGCCCGACGGCCCCCCCCCCGCCUCCUCCAGCUCCGCGGCCGCGCCUCCGAAAGCCGCGGCCCCACCUCGGGGCGGAGCAGCAGCAGCAGCAGCCGCCGCCGGAGGAGCCGGAGCCGGGGCGCUGGGAGCUCGGCGGCCGGGCCCCGCUGCGCAUCGGGAAAGAGCUCACUGAAGAGGGAGAGAUUAUCUGAAACCAGAGCUAACGCAGCCAAAGCAAAAUGUUUUCAAUUCUUUGGGGAAGAACCUAGCUUUAAAUUUCGAGCUUUCCGUCAAGUGAGGAAUACAACUUACACCGAUGCACCUUCCCCACCAAAUUUACCUUUACCAGCGAUGGAACUUCCUUUGUGGCAGCCAGGUAAAGCGGUAUCUUCGCUUUAAGAAGGUAAUUGGGGCACAGAUUAAGUUACUUACUUUGCAUACAAGAAACCUGUGGGAAAGCCAAGAAUCUCUCCCCAAACUCCCAGUUUCUGAUGAGAUCUCUCACCCAGAAGACUUCUGUACCCUCUCUUCCCCACCAGCACGCCACGGCAGUCUGUAGGAGUUGUGUUCCCCGAGGGGUCUUGGCUGAAAUCUUUUAAUUUUUUUUUUCAAGUAACUUUCCUUGCCACUUUGACCUUCUUUCCUUUCGCUCAGUCGUGCUGCACGUGUGCUGCUCGAAAUGCUGUAGAAGCUGAGCGAGGGAAGGAGCUGUUUGCUUCUGAGAUACCAGCGAACUUGAGUCACGUGGCAGUGACUUUCCGAAUUUUCACUCCCCUGUGUGGUUAACCUGCGGGUGCUGUGGGGCUUGCAGCAGGGUGCAGGAAGAAUUGCAUGGUGCCUGCAAGAAUAAUUUGCAACCAGAAGCCACGGUCAGAGCUGUCAGUGUGGCACUGAGGGACGAGCAGAGUUUCACCGAUACCUUGUGCAGCGCAGAGCCAGAAAUAAUAGUCCCGAGGGGGCUCUCGCAGCGAGCUUGCAGCCCGCAGCCAGGCAGGUGACCUUGUUCUGCUUCCCCCUGCCUGUCUGUGCAGGCUCCUGACCCCCGCAGAAGGGUUUGCUGCUUUUUAUCUUGAAAGCACUGGCUCAGGUGUGCGUUAAUGGGUUGUUUGACGCGCUGCCUUGGGCUGCACUCGCGGUCUGUGCGUUAGCAGCUGCAGGUUUCUGCCUUCAGCUCUGCGGCCGGCCGUGCCGUCCUGGAGGAGGUGGCAGCUGGUGGCACCCUCGUCUCCUGGAGGUCCAGCUGAAGGUGAGGGUGCAACCUGCCUGCCACGGUGUGGGACUGGGGAGAUACACAUUUCAGUUUCAAGUAGGAGGGAAACACUUCAGGAGGCUGGGAAAUGCUGCGUUGCGGCCUUUCACCACGGGCAUUCUGGCAUCCUCCUCCCCUGGGGUUUCUAGGAAACGUGACUUUCCUGUGGCACUGUGGGGGGAAAUUGGUGUUUCGGGGCUGGGAUUCCUUGGAGGGGCAGGCACGUCUCUGUGCAAGCUCUGGGUGAUUUGAACUUCCCUUCCCAGUUGCCUCUGUGGCCUCUGGUGCCUGGUGCUCUGUCCUUUUGCAUUUGGCAGGCCCAGCAGCUGGGUCCUCUGUUCCAGGUGUGUGAGGUUGUGGAGGUUUGGGCAUUUGGGCAGUAACGCUUGGCAGUGUCCUUGUUAGCAAUGCUCUGAUGAAACAUUUGCCCAAAAGGCAAGAGGCGAGAGACACAGUGAUCUAAUAGUGAAAGAAACACGGUUCCAGGCUCUGGUUAUCGUAACACGACCCUCUUGUCUUCAUGCAUCCUGUGCUAAUUUAAAAAACAAACAAGAGCUUUUUAUCCAGAGGCAGUUCGCCGCUCCUGUCCUUAAGCCAGGAGAGGGGUUUGCUUUCUCGUCUUCCUGAACAUCUGGAAGUGGAUCUUCUUCCUGAAGAUCCCAGCAGUGACACCAGUUAGGAAAUGACUUGGAGCCUGUUGUGCAUGAGGGGGACGCUGCUGCCGUCCUUGGCGCAUGGCGUUGGGCGAACAGCAACCUCCAACUCGUCAAACCCGGACUGCGGGGAGGGACUGGACCUCAGCUCUUCAUGUCUGGAUGGCCCCACGCAAGCACAUCGGCUUUCCCUGCUCCUUGAGCAGCCCCCGCCUGCCUCCUGCCUUGUUUUUCCCCGGGGACAGUUGAGCUCCCGUGCCUGCCUUUUCCUGCCCAUCCCGCAGCCUGUCACCUCCCGCUCUUGGUGGCUUUCUGGCAUCUCUCUGGCCGUCUCCUCACCGUGUUGCUGUGCUGCCAGGGAGCUCGUCCCCGUGUUGGGGAGAAAACGAUGAAGAGCUGCUUUCUCCAGACCUCGGGGAGAUAGAUCCUUGCUGGUCACCCAGGCCGUGGUGUGGGUGUGUCUUGUAUCGAGGAGCGGUGACAGUGCUGAGGGUACUGCUGGAAAAAGGAGCCUGUGAAUUCAUCAGUGGUGCUCGUUGCUGGAGGAUGUGUUCAGAAGGACUGCAACAGGCUGGUCAUCCAGAAUAGCACAGAUGAGCCUGGGUCCUGCUGGGGAGGAGCAGGGGAAAGUUUGGAAACUCCUCGCCUUGCCAUGGUGCAGGAGUCGAUGCUAAGGAAAUAAAUGAGUUGGGCAGCCGCCUCUGCUGCA